CCUACGGGUGGCAGCAGUGGGGAAUAUUGCACAAUGGGGGAAACCCUGAUGCAGCGACGCCGCGUGAAGGAAGAAGUAUUUCGGUAUGUAAACUUCUAUCAGCAGGGAAGAAAAAGACGGUACCUGACUAAGAAGCCCCUGCUAACUACGUGCCAGCAGCCGCGGUAAUACGAAGGGGGCAAGCGUUAUCCGGAUUGACUGGGGGUAAAGGGAGCGUGGGCGGUUUAGCAAGACAGAAGUGAAAGCCCGGGGCUCAACUCCGGGAGUGCUUUUGAAACUGGUGAACUAGAGUGCAGGAGAGGAAAGUGGAAUUCCUAGUGUAGCGGUGAAAUGCGUAGAUAUUAGGAGGAACACCAGUGGCGAAGGCGGCUUACUGGACUGUAAAUGACGCUGAGGCUCGAAAGCGUGGGGAGCAAACAGGAUUAGAUACCCUGGUAGUC
RNAcentral lists this ribosomal RNA (440 nucleotides) under uncultured bacterium. Its description in RNAcentral is "partial 16S ribosomal RNA". It matches the Rfam family "Bacterial small subunit ribosomal RNA", at positions 338 to 795 of the family's 1533-position model. The record is from RNAcentral.